GUUUUGCGCCUGAAAGGGCGACGGUGUCGAGCCGGAGCGAGAAGUCAGCAGAGGUCGUAGUAGGGAGCAGGUAGGUGCGAACGAAGGGC
Molecule: non-coding RNA, 89 nt
Filed under: Rhizobium sp. BK538
Lineage: Bacteria; Pseudomonadati; Pseudomonadota; Alphaproteobacteria; Hyphomicrobiales; Rhizobiaceae
Also listed under: 1 other name
Source: RNAcentral